CCUGAGCUCAAGCAGUCUGCCUGUUCCCAAAGUGCUGGGAUGACCAGGCAUGAGCCACUGUACCCAACCAGCUUUUGUGGAAUAUUUUUUAGCCUCUCACAGUGUGCCCAACCUUUGGCUUCCAAAGAUUCUUGUCUGUCCCACAUGCAAAAUACAUUUUCCCCAUACCAACAUACUGCCAAAUUUCAGCCUGUUACAGCAUCAACUCACAUCCAAAAUCUUACCUAAGUGUCAUCAGCCCCAAAAGUCCCAAACUCAGCAUCUAGAUCAGGUAUGGGUGGUACUAUGGAUAUGAUCCACCCCAAGGUAAAGUUUCUGUUCACUUGUUGACCUGUGAAACUAGAAGACGGGUUAUCUGCUUCUAAAAUUUAAUGGCAGAAUAAGCAUAGAAUAACAGUUGUAGGCACUCCUAUUCCAAAGGGGAGAAAAUGGAAGGAAGAAAAGGUUACCCAGACCCAGGCACCUUCCAAAUCCAGUAGGGCAAAUUCCAUUACAUGCAAGGCCUGGGAAUAAUCCCCUGAGGCUAAUUUCACUGCCCUCUGGGCCCAUAGCUCUGCCUUCUGGCCUUGCAAUUCUGGGCUCUGGUUCCAAAGCUCAGCCCUCACAGUCAUCUUUCCUUUUUUCAUGAAGGGUAGCACAUGUUUGCAACUUUGUAGUUUUAUGAGCUUAUUUUCUUUCUAUGGAAUUUUGGGAGUCUAGCAACCUUCUUUCAUUUAGUCAUGUCCUUGAUCCUUUCAGUCUAAGCUGGACAUGUUUCUACUGAUGUAAUAUUCUCAAAAACCUGGUGAUUCUCCUGUAUGUGUCAUAGGGAUUCAUAUUAUUAGACAAAAGGGUCCUCCACAGAAUUUCUUAGAUAAUCUCAUCUUUCUUUCUGACCUAUGCUGAUAUCCAUUCAUAUCCAAGGGUCACAUACCCAUUCCCUUCAGUUCUAGCAACAGGGUGUUCAGUCAUAUACUUGGCGUUCUCUCCAGAGGACAUUUUGUUAACAGUGGAUCUUCUAAUUUUAGCAUAUUUUGCAAUUUAAACAAGCUGUUAAUUUCUAAAUCAAGGGUCUUUUUUUGCGUAACACUUCUUUCCUCAAUUAAUCUAUUUUUGCUCACAUUUUACUAUAAGCAGAAAGAAGAAACCAGGCUGCACCUUGAGUACUUUGCUUGGAAGUCUCAUCAGCUAAAUGUCCACAUUAAUGGCUUAAAAGUUUUGCUUUACACUAACUGUAAAACAAUUCAGCUAAGUUUCUGCUUCUGUAUAACAAAAAUUGCCUUUCUUCUAGUUUCCAACAACAUGCUUCUAAUUUUUUUCUGAGACCUCACCAGAAGGGCUUCUAUGGAUUCGCUGGUAAAGACAAUCUGGGCUUUUUCUAUCAUGCACUUACAAGUUCUUUGAGCCUCUACUCAUUGUCCAAUUCCAAAGCCAGCUGCACAUUUUUAAAGUGUAUUUCUUCUAGCAAUAACUCACUUCCUUGUAGCAAAAUCUGCAUCAGUCAGGGUUAAACCAGAGACACAGAACUAGUAAGAGACAUCAAAAGGGGUGCAUUGCAGGGAGUUGGCUCACAUGAUGAUGGGUGCUGGCUAGGCAAGUCUGAAAUCUGUAAAGCAGGCCAUCAGGAAUGGCAGCUGGAGCUUUCUGGCACAGGCUGAAGCUGCUGUCCACAAGUGGGAUUUCUUUCCAGAAACCUCAGUUCUGCCUGUAGGGCCUUUCAGCUGAUUGGGUGAGACCCACCCAGAUUAUCCAGGAUCAUCUCUUUUAUUUAAAACCAAUUUUAUUUUUGAAUGUUAAUCUCAUCUACAAAAAUGGCUUCACAGCAAUGACGAGAUUAGUAUUUGAUUGACUAACUGGGCAUUGCAGCCUAGCCAAGUUAACAUGUCAAACUGACCAUCACAGGUUAGUAAACACGUCACACAGCCAAGUUAACACAACAAACUGACGAUCACAGGUUAGUUUACACGUCACACAGCCAAAACACGUCAAACUGACCAUCACAGGUUAGUUAACACGUCACACAGCCAAGUUAACACGUCAAACUGACCAUCACAGGUUAGUUAACACGUCACUCAGCCAAGUUAACACGUCACACUGACCAUCACAGAUUAGUUAACACGUCACUCAGCCAAGUUAACACGUCACACUGACCAUCACAGGUUAGUUAACACGUCACACAGCCAAGUUAACACGUCACACUGACCAUCACAGGUUAGUUAACACGUCACUCAGCCAAGUUAACACGUCAAACUGACUGUCACCGGUUAGUUAACACGUCACACAGCCAAGUUAACACGUCAAACUGACCGUCACAGGUUAGUUAACAUGUCACACAGCCAAGUUAACACGUCACACUGACCGUCACAGGUUAGUUAACACGUCACCCAGCCAAGUUAACACGUCAAACUGACCGUCACAGGUUAGUUAACACGUCACACAGACAAGUUAACACAUCACACUGACCGUCACAGGUUAGUUAACAGGUCACCCAGCCAAGUUAACACGUCACACUGACCAUCACAGGUUAGUUAACACGUCACACAGCCAGGUUAACACGUCACACUGACCAUCACAGGUUAGUUAACACGUCACACAGCCAAGUUAACACGUCAAACUGACGAUCACAGGUUAGUUAACACGUCACACAGCCAAAACACAUCAAACUGACCAUCACAGGUUAGCUAACACGUCACACAGCCAAGUUAACACGUCACACUGACCGUCACAGGUUAGUUUACACGUCACACAGCCAAAACACGUCAAACUGACCAUCACAGGUUAGUUAACAUGUCACACAGCCAAGUUAACACGUCAAACUGACGAUCACAGGUUAGUUAACACGUCACACAGCCAAGUAAGUUAACACGUCAAACUGACCGUCACAGGUUAGUUAACACGUCACACAGCCAAGUUAACACGUCACACAGCCAAGUUAACACGUCAAACUGACCGUCACAGGUUAGUUAACACGUCACACAGCCAAGUUAACACGUCAAACUGACCGUCACAGGUUAGUUAACACGUCACACAGCCAAGUUAACACGUCAAACUGACCAUCACAGGUUAGUUAACACGUCACACAGCCAAAACACGUCAAACUGACCAUCACAGGUUAGUUAACGUGUCACACAGCCAAGUUAACACGUCAAACUGACGAUCACAGGUUAGUUUACACGUCACACAGCCAAAACACGUCAAACUGACCAUCACAGGUUAGUUAACACGUCACACAGCCAAGUAAGUUAACACGUCAAACUGACCGUCACAGGUUAGUUAACACGUCACACAGCCAAGUUAACACAUCACACAGCCAAGUUAACACGUCAAACUGACCGUCACAGGUUAGUUAACACGUCACACAGCCAAGUUAACACGUCAAACUGACCGUCACAGUUUAGUUAACACGUCACACAGCCAAGUUAACACGUCAAACUGACCAUCACAGGUUAGUUAACACAUCACACAGCCAAAACACGUCAAACUGACCACCACAGGUUAGUUAACACGUCACACAGCCAAGUUAACACGUCAAACUGACCAUCACAGGUUAGUUAACACGUCACACAGCCAAGUUAACACGUCAAACUGACCGUCACAGGUUAGUUAACACGUCACUCACCCAGGUUAACACGUCACACUGACCGUCACAGGUUAGUUAACACGUCACACAGCCAAGUUAACACGUCACACUGACCAUCACAGGUUAGUUAACACGUCACUCAGCCAAGUUAACACGUCACACUGACCGUCACAGGUUAGUUAACACGUCACACAGCCAAGUUAACACGUCAAACUGACCGUCACAGGUUAGUUAACACGUCACACAGCCAAGUUAACACGUCACACUGACCAUCACAGGUUAGUUAACACGUCACUCAGCCAAGUUAACACGUCACACUGACCAUCACAGGUUAGUUAACACGUCACACAGCCAAGUUAACACGUCACACUGACCAUCACAGGUUAGUUAACACGUCACUCAGCCAAGUUAACACGUCACACUGACCAUCACAGGUUAGUUAACACGUCACACAGCCAAGUUAACACGUCACACUGACCACCACCGUGCUUGCCUGUAUUAAGCCCUUGAUGCCUGUGUAUCUGUUAAAAUGAAAGACUGUGAUAGUAGAAUGUUCCCUUCCUAUCAGUGAGGAGAUCAUUUGAUUCAAAUGUGGGAAAAAUUAAAGAUCAUGAAAAUACAUUAGCCAUGAUUAUAAUGGGAGUGUGGGGAAGGGCAUGGUAAAUAUUUAGAAUAAGCUAAACUUCUAAUGAAAUGAGAUCUCCUCAGCUGGGGCUGGUGGACCCAGAUGAGCUUCAGUGGGUCAUGAACCUCCCAGAAUUAUAUGGGGUGUGCGUUUUUGUGUGAAAGAGAGAAAGAACAUUUUUUUUUUCUGGAAUUAGAGUUCAUAGCUUUUAUCAGAUUCACACAAAAAAGUGCGUUGUAUUAUAAAUGUAACUACCUCAUAUAUAUGGUAACCAGGUCAUCCAUCAGUAGCAAUAGGCCUGUAUUAGGAGUCCUUGACGGUGGAUCUAAUAAAAUCUUCUGUGCUCGUAACUCACACCUACCUGGAUAUUCUAGAAUCAGCUCUUGGAGAACUCAGAGGUAAUACAGAUAGUGGUUCUUAUAGGGAUUGGCUAGGGCAAAAUUAGGAGAUGCUUGUUGUACCAAAGUCUACUGGUAUGUUUCCUACUAAUAAAUCAUGCCUGAUGCCCCCAAGUCAAUGACUCGAUAGAGGAAGUGAGUGAUGAGGCAGGCAGCAUAACUCUGUGAAUGAGCCAACCCCAGCCCUUCCCCUGACUUAAAAAGGGGUUAAUGAACACAGAUGGCUGCAAACCCCCCAAGCAGCCAGCAUACUGUAAAACAAUAUUAACAUCAUUGCCUUUUGAAUACCAUGUCUUGUAAACCCCAGGAUAUGACAAGCCUCUUUAGAAUCUUCUUUGAUUGUGUUACUCAGACUCCCGUAGGGAAGUAGGGAGGGGUAGGGGUAGAUACCAGAGGAAAUGUGUAAUUAGGAGUCUCUUAGAACAAUAAGGGUUCUCAAACACAUAUGUGUGCAACUGAUUUGUUGCUUUUGGUAUUUCUGUUGGUGAGUAAUUAACUAACCAUGUUUUGGGGGCAGUCUGUGCAAGCUUGGGCAAUCUGAUAGUUGUGAACCAUGGGGAAAGAAUAGUUGCCUUUAGCUAUAUUUUCAGAAAAAUACUAAGUGGAGAUGUGAAUGGAAAGGAAAGAACAGACUUUCUGGAGAGAUGCCAUUAUGGUAAUGUCAGAACUUCCUUUCAGUCUCAGAUAAAUCUUUCUUGUUAUCACCCUUAUUUUUAGUUUUACUCAAGACAGGAGGCCCAGUUCAGUUGGAGAGUGCCGUGUACACAGAUAUCCCUGCCACCUCCCCGGGAGAGAGGCACAGGGGCCUCUGCGGGACUCUGGCCCCUUAUUUUACGGUUGUGAUUCCUCCUCACUGUGGUGCCUGUGUGUGGGGUUUCAGGGAGAGGGGCCUUUUGAUUUGACUGCUGAGAGGAAUAGGGGUUUUCUCCUGGGAACUCUUCUGAGAGAAUAAGCUUUUGACAAACACUCUUUGAAAGUUACUCUAUGGCCAGAUGCGUGCAGAUCCAAAGAUGGUGUCAUUUGUGAAAAAUGAGGCUGGCUUAUGAGCUGGGUCCAUUUGCACACAGCCUGCAGCCACGGAGUCCCUCAGCUUGGAGAUGUGCUAGCUCCUUCUGUCCUGUGGGCUGCUGGGGCUUUGUGUCACUGGCAUCAGAAAACAGAAUUUGGCAGUUCUCUAGGCUAAGGGUUUCCAAACUAAGUGUCCUCUGUAUUAACAACGAGGAGCCAAAAUGGGGACUUUUCUAUUUGUGAAGGGGAUCCAGUGAAAAUAAACUGUUUUAUUUUGGUGACUUUGAGUAUAGGAAUUGUCUUCUCUGGACCUCAGUUUAUCCAACUAGAAAAAUGGGAGCAGAGGUGCCUAGUUAUCUUUAGGAAUGUUCUGUGACUUAAUGAAGCAAUAUUUAUGUAAUGAUUUGGUGGUGUAAAUGUCCCCAGCAGUGCAUGAUGUUAGUUGUAUGUUUGCAAAGUACCUAGCUCCCCUGGUAAAGGUAACCUUUGUAAAUGGCAAGCUAUGAGUAUUGUUAAAAGGACAUAUGGCUCCACCUUCUUUCCAAAAAAGAUCACUGAGGAAUAUAGGGCCAGUUAAAUAGCAUAGAAAGAGGUUCAGAGUGUCUUGACCUGGAGCAGUUUUUAAAACCUCAGGCCAAAACUCCACUAGGAAACUCACCAAACUAACCAUUAUGGUCAAUUUCAUUUUGAAAUAAAGCACCCUAAUUCAUCUGUCCAGGAGUCCAGGUUCCUGUGUGGCCCAAGGUUGCAUUCGGAGGUCAGAGUAAAUCCUGUCGCUAAAGAGCCACUCCUUCUAGAAAUAGCUUUUUUUAAUGUCUGCAAUUUCUCAAUUCAGUUCUUUGACUCUUUAGUUCUAUCCCAUUUCUGGCCACAAACCUGUUUGGGGUUUGCUCCACCAUAAGUCAACACAUGCACAUGCUUUCCCAUCAGUUCCCAGAAUGCAGAGGACACUGUAGGUCUGCUAAGGGGCUUCUUUCAGAACUUCUGGGGUUAACGUGGUUGGAAUGUGUGCUAACAGGCUGCUCUCACAGUGGCAGUUCUAAUUGGCUGAGGAUGAGUCUUGAAAUGUCACAGAAAGAUUUAUCUCUCAGCACAGAUUCUCCCUCAACUAAUUUUUCAGUAGGCCACCAGAUAAUGGGUUGUUUGGAAAACAAUAUGCAGUUCUCAGAUGCCUUUCUGUGUUGGAAUGAACUUGGUAGGCUAUUUGAAGCAAAAUGGCUGAUGGCAAGGAAACUCUUGACUGACUUACAGGCCAUUGGACACUGGGAACACCAGGCCUUGCUUGUGAGGGAUUUGGCUGAGUCAGUUUCUCAGGGUCCAUCACCAUUCUUGUGGGGACUCAGCACACAGGUGGGUGGGGAAACCUGCCUCAGAAGUUUGGCUUAUAAAGAAAUAUGGGGAUUGAUAUCUGGAUCCUUUUAUAUCAGCAGCAAGGAUUAAUUUUAGAGAAGAUAUUUCAUAAAAAAAUGGAUUCUUCCCUACUCUCAGUUUCUCAGGAAAAAUAUAUUUGCUUGAUUUGAAGGUACCAUUGACAGUUAGCUGCUUGUUGAUUUAAUAACAGCUUUUUUUUUUUAGGAUUAAGAGAAAUAGAAAAAUGGGCACCAUGUUCAACAUACAUACAGAUUAGAAGAUAAAUUUCUAUUUCAGAAACAUUGCAACACUGUUCGCAACAACCAAGAUAUGGAAACACUAAAUGUCCACUGCUGGAUAAAUGGAUAAAGAAAAUGUGGAAUUUACAUACAGUGGAGAAAUUUGUUAAAGAAUAGAAACUUACAGCUACACAGUAUGGAUAAGUUCUGGUGUUGUAUACCACUGUAGGAUGACUAUAAAAAUAAUACAGUAUGUAGUUUCAGAUAGUUAGAAGGAGGAUAUUGAAUGUUCCUAAUGCAAAGAAAUGAUAAAUGCUUGAGAUGAUAGAUAUAUGAAUUACCCUAAUCUGAUCACCAUAAGUUGUAUGUAUUGAAAAAUCACUAUGUUCCCUAUAAACAUGUACAAUUAUUAAGUGUCAAUUUUUUAAGAGUAUAUAAAGAUGCAUACAGGGAAUGCUGCAAUAUGUGACAUCAUGGAUGGACCUUGAGGACAUUAUGCUGAAUGAAAUAAACCAGUCAGAAAGGACAAGUACUCCAUGAUUCCACUGAUGUGAGAUAUCUAAAAUAAGCAAAUUCAUAGAAUCAAAGAGUGGAAUGAUGGUCACCAGGGGCUGGAAUGAGAGGGGAAUGAGCAUGGAGUUUCAGUUACGCAAGAUGUGUAAGUUCUGGAAGUCUCCUGUACAACAUUGUACCUCUGGUUACCGUAUUAUACACUGAAAAUUUGGUUAAGAGGGUAGAGCUCAUGGUAAGUGUUCUUGCUGCUAUAAAAUAAAAUUUUAAUCAAUACA
Molecule: long non-coding RNA, 7967 nt
Organism: Homo sapiens (human)
Lineage: Eukaryota; Metazoa; Chordata; Mammalia; Primates; Hominidae
Exons: 2
Source: RefSeq, a predicted model, not a curated record